Molecule: ribosomal RNA, 970 nt
Filed under: uncultured Nesterenkonia sp.
Lineage: Bacteria; Bacillati; Actinomycetota; Actinomycetes; Micrococcales; Micrococcaceae
Description: bacterial SSU rRNA
Rfam family: Bacterial small subunit ribosomal RNA
Source: RNAcentral
AGCCGGGGGGGGGUGCUUACCAUGCAGUCGAACGAUGAAGACCGUGCUUGCACGGUUGGAUUAGUGGCGAACGGGUGAGUAUCACGUGAGUAACCUUCCCUUGACUCUGGGAUAAGCCCGGGAAACUGGGUCUAAUACCGGAUACGACCAGUCCUCGCAUGGGGUGCUGGUGGAAAGAUUUAUCGGUCUUGGAUGGACUCGCGGCCUAUCAGCUUGUUGGUGAGGUAAUGGCUCACCAAGGCGAUGACGGGUAGCCGGCCUGAGAGGGUGACCGGCCACACUGGGACUGAGACACGGCCCAGACUCCUACGGGAGGCAGCAGUGGGGAAUAUUGCACAAUGGGCGAAAGCCUGAUGCAGCGACGCCGCGUGCGGGAUGACGGCCUUCGGGUUGUAAACCGCUUUCAGCAGGGAAGAAGCGAAAGUGACGGUACCUGCAGAAGAAGCGCCGGCUAACUACGUGCCAGCAGCCGCGGUAAUACGUAGGGCGCGAGCGUUAUCCGGAAUUAUUGGGCGUAAAGAGCUCGUAGGCGGUUUGUCACGUCUGCUGUGAAAGCCCGGGGCUCAACCCCGGGUGUGCAGUGGGUACGGGCAGACUAGAGUGCAGUAGGGGAGACUGGAAUUCCUGGUGUAGCGGUGAAAUGCGCAGAUAUCAGGAGGAACACCGAUGGCGAAGGCAGGUCUCUGGGCUGUUACUGACGCUGAGGAGCGAAAGCAUGGGGAGCGAACAGGAUUAGAUACCCUGGUAGUCCAUGCCGUAAACGUUGGGCACUAGGUGUGGGGGACAUUCCACGUUUUCCGCGCCGUAGCUAACGCAUUAAGUGCCCCGCCUGGGGAGUACGGCCGCAGGCUAAACUCAAUGAAUUGACGGGGGUCCCGCACAAGCGGCGGAGCAUGCUGAUUAAUUCGAUGCAUCGCGAAGACCUUACCAUGGCUUGACAUGGACCGGACCGCUGCAGAGAUGCAACUUC